Molecule: ribosomal RNA, 497 nt
Filed under: uncultured bacterium
Lineage: Bacteria
Description: partial 16S ribosomal RNA
Rfam family: Bacterial small subunit ribosomal RNA
Source: RNAcentral
GACGAACGCUGGCGGCGUGCCUAAUACAUGCAAGUUGAGCGCUGAAGGUUGGUACUUGUCCCAACUGGAUGAGCAGCGAACGGGUGAGUAACGCGUGGGGAAUCUGCCUUUGAGCGGGGGACAACAUUUGGAAACGAAUGCUAAUACCGCAUAAAAACUUUAAACACAAGUUUUAAGUUUGAAGGAUGCAAUUGCAUCACUCAAAGAUGAUCCCGCGUUGUAUUAGCUAGUUGGUGAGGUAAAGGCUCACCAAGGCGAUGAUACAUAGCCGACCUGAGAGGGUGAUCGGCCACAUUGGGACUGAGACACGGCCCAAACUCCUACGGGAGGCAGCAGUAGGGAAUCUUCGGCAAUGGACGAAAGUCUGACCGAGCAACGCCGCGGGAGUGAAGAAGGGUUUCGGAUCGUAAAACUCUGUUGGUAGAGAAGAACGUUGGUGAGAGUGGAAAGCUCAUCAAGUGACGGUAACUACCCAGAAAGGGACGGCUAACUACGUG